This 416-nucleotide ribosomal RNA is filed under the name Paracoccus sp. oral taxon A23. Its description in RNAcentral is "bacterial SSU rRNA". It matches the Rfam family "Bacterial small subunit ribosomal RNA", at positions 29 to 493 of the family's 1533-position model. Lineage: Bacteria; Pseudomonadati; Pseudomonadota; Alphaproteobacteria; Rhodobacterales; Paracoccaceae. The record is from RNAcentral.
AACGAACGCUGGCGGCAGGCCUAACACAUGCAAGUCGAGCGAGAUCUUCGGGUCUAGCGGCGGACGGGUGAGUAACGCGUGGGAAUAUGCCUCUUGGUACGGAAUAGCCUCGGGAAACUGGGAGUAAUACCGUAUGUGCCCUUUGGGGGAAAGAUUUAUCGCCAAGAGAUUAGCCCGCGUUGGAUUAGGUAGUUGGUGGGGUAAUGGCCUACCAAGCCGACGAUCCAUAGCUGGUUUGAGAGGAUGAUCAGCCACACUGGGACUGAGACACGGCCCAGACUCCUACGGGAGGCAGCAGUGGGGAAUCUUAGACAAUGGGGGCAACCCUGAUCUAGCCAUGCCGCGUGAGUGAUGAAGGCCUUAGGGUUGUAAAGCUCUUUCAGCUGGGAAGAUAAUGACGUACCAGCAGAGAGCCC